AUCCAGCUGACCAAUCCCAAAUGGGACGAAACGUGCAUCCUGGAU
Molecule: non-coding RNA, 45 nt
Filed under: Schistosoma mansoni
Lineage: Eukaryota; Metazoa; Platyhelminthes; Trematoda; Strigeidida; Schistosomatidae
Source: RNAcentral